This 497-nucleotide ribosomal RNA is filed under the name uncultured bacterium. Its description in RNAcentral is "partial 16S ribosomal RNA". It matches the Rfam family "Bacterial small subunit ribosomal RNA", at positions 28 to 507 of the family's 1533-position model. The record is from RNAcentral.
GAUGAACGCUGGCGGCGUGCCUAAUACAUGCAAGUCGAGCGAACAGAUGAGGAGCUUGCUCCUCUGACGUUAGCGGAGGACGGGUGAGUAACACGUGGAUAACCUACCUAUAAGACUGGGAUAACUUCGGGAAACCGGAGCUAAUACCGGAUAAUAUAUUGAACCGCAUGGUUCAAUAGUGAAAGACGGUUUUGCUGUCACUUAUAGAUGGAUCCGCGCCGCAUUAGCUAGUUGGUAAGGUAACGGCUUACCAAGGCAACGAUGCGUAGCCGACCUGAGAGGGUGAUCGGCCACACUGGAACUGAGACACGGUCCAGACUCCUACGAGAGGCAGCAGUAGGGAAUCGUCCGCAAUGGGCGAAAGCCUGACGGAGCAACGCCGCGUGAGUGAUGAAGGUCUUCGGAUCGUAAAACUCUGUUAUUAGGGAAGAACAAAUUUGGAAGUAACUAUGCACGUCUUGACGGUACCUAAUCAGAAAGCCACGGCUAACUACGUG